UAAGGAAUAUUGGUCAAUGGAGGCAACUCUGAACCAGCCAUGCCGCGUGAAGGAUUAAGGCCCUCUGGGUUGUAAACUUCUUUUAUAUGGGAAGAAAUGUACUUUUUCUAAAGUGCUUGACGGUACCAUAGGAAUAAGCACCGGCUAACUCCGUGCCAGCAGCCGCGGUAAUACGGAGGGUGCAAGCGUUAUCCGGAUUUACUGGGUUUAAAGGGUGCGUAGGCGGAUGAAUAAGUCAGUGGUGAAAUCUCCGAGCUUAACUCGGAAACUGCCGUUGAUACUAUUUGUCUUGAAUAUUGUGGAGGUAAGCGGAAUAUGUCAUGUAGCGGUGAAAUGCUUAGAUAUGACAUAGAACACCAAUUGCGAAGGCAGCUUGCUACACAAUCAUUGACGCUGAGGCACGAAAGCGUGGGGAUCAAACAG
This 423-nucleotide ribosomal RNA is filed under the name uncultured bacterium. RNAcentral describes it as "bacterial SSU rRNA". It matches the Rfam family "Bacterial small subunit ribosomal RNA", at positions 355 to 775 of the family's 1533-position model. The record is from RNAcentral.